ACGGGGGAUGCAAGCGUUAUUCGGAAUUAUUGGGCGUAAAGGGCGCGUAGGCGGUUUUGUCGGUCAGAUGUGAAAGCCCAGGGCUCAACCCUGGACGUGCAUUUGAAACAGCAAGACUUGAGUACGGGAGAGGAAAGCGGAAUUCCUGGUGUAGAGGUGAAAUUCGUAGAUAUCAGGAGGAACACCGAUGGCGAAGGCAGCUUUCUGGACCGAUACUGACGCUGAGGCGCGAAGGCGUGGGUAGCGAACAGGAUUAGAUACCCUGGUAGUCCACGCAGUAAACGAUGUACACUCGGUGUAGCGGAUAUUAAAAUCUGCUGCGCCCAAGCUAACGCAUUAAGUGUACCGCCUGGGGAGUACGGUCGCAAGACUA
Molecule: ribosomal RNA, 373 nt
Filed under: uncultured bacterium
Lineage: Bacteria
Description: bacterial SSU rRNA
Rfam family: Bacterial small subunit ribosomal RNA
Source: RNAcentral